RNAcentral lists this non-coding RNA (29 nucleotides) under Homo sapiens (human). The record is from RNAcentral. Lineage: Eukaryota; Metazoa; Chordata; Mammalia; Primates; Hominidae.
UGGGUGACUGAGCUGCAGACUCACCCGGA